Molecule: long non-coding RNA, 1184 nt
Organism: Cyprinus carpio carpio
Lineage: Eukaryota; Metazoa; Chordata; Actinopteri; Cypriniformes; Cyprinidae
Source: Ensembl
ACCUUCUCCACCUGUCCAUCCUCCCUCUCCAGGCAGCUCCACAGCACCUUCUCCACCUGUCCAUCCUCCCUCUCCAGUCAGCUCCACAGCACCUUCUCCACCUGUCCAUCCUCCCUCUCCAGUCAGCUCCACAGCACCUUCUCCACCUGUCCAUCCUCCCUCUCCAGUCAGCCCCACAGCACCUUCUCCACCUGUCCAUCCUCCCUCUCCAGUCAGCUCUGCAGAUAAAUCUAUCCAGGCAUCGGGAACAGAAACAUGUGUAAGACAGGCCUGGAGGGGAAAAAAUGUGUAUGUACUGCUGUCAAAAAUAGGACCGUAUAAAAUUUACUACAUGGACAUAUAUCAAACAGCACCAUCAAUGGAACUUGAAAGCGAGGUCAUGAAUGCGUAUAUGCUCCUCCUGGUGCAAAAAUAUAACACGAGGUCCUGCAACAAGGCUGCAGCCAUCGACACUUUUGAAAUGUCCAACAUUUGGCAACAGAAGCGGGCAAAAGUGAAGAUGAACCCAGAAAAGUACAAAAUCAUACUGGGUAUAAUUAAUGACUGCCAUCAUUGGACUUUGACGGUCAUGUUUCCUCAAGAGAGGAGGGCUCUCUACCUUGAUCCAUUGGGGGAGAGCCAAAGAAACAUAAAAAGAUGCCAGGAUGUGACAAGAUCAUUCAUGAGACAAAAGGGGGUUAAAAUAUCUCGAUGGAUGUGUGACACACUGCCACACCCCCAACAAAGAGAUGGCAAUUCCUGUGGGGCCUUUGUCCUGAAGUUUGCAGAAUGCAUUCUUAAUGAGGAGCGUAUCAAAUUCUCCACAACCCCAAAUGGAGUAAAAGCUCUCAGGAUGGCAAUAGCCACCAACCUAAUAAAAAACACAGAUGACCUUAAGGACCUCUGCUACUUCUGUGGGGAAACAGAAAAUGACACAGACUGGAUCAGCUGUGAUGUCUGCUUAAGGUGGUUUCACUGCAGCUGCAUUCAGAAGUCAAUAAAGGCAAAGACUUUCAUCUGCCAGGCAUGCAGCACAUAAAAAUUUGGCAGAAAAAAAAGUGCUGGACUGUAAAUAGUUCAUUUCAGUGUAGAAACAAUUUAGUAUAGAUACAACACACUUUUUUGUUCUGUAUAGUUAUUGUAGUUAUACUUUUCUGUAUAGAUCUUUUUUUUUUCUUUGUAAAUUCUUAAAAGGACUGUUCACC